RNAcentral lists this non-coding RNA (26 nucleotides) under Mus musculus (house mouse). The record is from RNAcentral. Lineage: Eukaryota; Metazoa; Chordata; Mammalia; Rodentia; Muridae.
UACAUUAUCACAGGUAAAGAGGAGUC